Podarcis lilfordi (Lilford's wall lizard) is the source of this 75-nucleotide non-coding RNA. The record is from the annotation of a GenBank genome assembly. NCBI's taxonomy places the organism in Eukaryota, Metazoa, Chordata, Lepidosauria, Squamata, Lacertidae.
GGAAGGGUCAUAGCUCAGUGGUAGAACAUCUGCUUUGCAUUCAUAAGGUCCUGGGUUCAAUCCCCAGCAUUUGCU